This 431-nucleotide ribosomal RNA is filed under the name uncultured bacterium. RNAcentral describes it as "partial 16S ribosomal RNA". It matches the Rfam family "Bacterial small subunit ribosomal RNA", at positions 29 to 505 of the family's 1533-position model. The record is from RNAcentral.
AACGAACGCUGGCGGCAUGCCUAACACAUGCAAGUCGAACGAGACCUUCGGGGCUAGUGGCGCACGGGUGCGUAACGCGUGGGAACCUGCCCUUAGGUUCGGAAUAACUCCCCGAAAGGGGUGCUAAUACCGGAUAAUGUCUUCGGACCAAAGAUUUAUCGCCUUUGGAUGGGCCCGCGUUGGAUUAGCUAGUUGGUAGGGUAAAAGCCUACCAAGGCGACGAUCCAUAGCUGGUCUGAGAGGAUGAUCAGCCACACUGGGACUGAGACACGGCCCAGACUACUACGGGAGGCAGCAGUGGGGAAUAUUGGACCAUGGGCGCAAGCCUGAUCCAGCAGUGCCGCGUGAUUGAUGAAGGCCUUAGGGGUGUAAAGCUCUUUUACCCGGGAUGAUAAUGACAGUACCGGGAGAAUAAGCUCCGGCUAAAUCCG